Molecule: transfer RNA, 71 nt
Filed under: Siphoviridae sp. ctRuT6
Lineage: Duplodnaviria; Heunggongvirae; Uroviricota; Caudoviricetes
Also listed under: 1 other name
Description: tRNA-Asp
Rfam family: tRNA
About the family: Transfer RNA (tRNA) molecules are approximately 80 nucleotides in length. Their secondary structure includes four short double-helical elements and three loops (D, anti-codon, and T loops).
Source: RNAcentral
GGCUCUAUGGUAUAAAGGUAAUUACAUCCGACUGUCUAUCGGAAGAUUUGGUUCGAUUCCCAAUAGAGUCG